RNAcentral lists this ribosomal RNA (254 nucleotides) under uncultured bacterium. RNAcentral describes it as "partial 16S ribosomal RNA". It matches the Rfam family "Bacterial small subunit ribosomal RNA", at positions 524 to 776 of the family's 1533-position model. RNAcentral also lists the same sequence under 1 other name. The record is from RNAcentral.
UACAUAGGGUGCAAGCGUUAUCCGGAAUGAUUGGGCGUAAAGCGUCUGUAGGUGGUUUAAAAAGUCUACUGUCAAAUACGAUGGCUCAACCAACGGCAGGCAGUAGAGUACUAUUAAACUAGAGUUUGGUAGAGGUAGAGGGAAUCCCUAGCGUAACAGUGAAAUGUGUAGAUUUUAGGGAGAACACCAGCGGCGAAGGCGCUCUACUGGGCCAAUACUGACACUGAGAGACGAAAGCUAAGGGAGCGAAUAGG